Molecule: long non-coding RNA, 714 nt
Organism: Trichoplusia ni (cabbage looper)
Lineage: Eukaryota; Metazoa; Arthropoda; Insecta; Lepidoptera; Noctuidae
Exons: 2
Source: RefSeq, a predicted model, not a curated record
CUAUAAAGUGCAUUACUACUGCAGCUCCCGCCAACACAGCGCGUGCUAUACCAUUCCAAUUUCGAAUUUUUGAAGUUUUCUUUCUUUUUAUUUCAAGAUGCCUUGCGGAGGUUGCGGUGACAGCUGCAAAUGCAGUACCAGCCAGUGCUGCCAGUCGUGCAAGUGCGAUGCCUCUUGCACCUGCACCUGCAAGAGGACUGAAACCGCUUCGGACACCUCCAAAGCCACUAAGAAGUAGUAGCAAACAUGUCUGCAAAAACAUAACUUAACAUUCACCAAUGAACAGAUAUUCAAACAUAACAUUAGAAAAAUAAAAGAGUUCUUCAUUUAAACUUUUGAAUUUGGUACCGAUUAUCGAACUGUCAUUUGUAAAAAAAAAUGAAAUGAGUGUUUUUCUUUCAUCAAGAAAUGCAUGUUUACUUUCUUGCCGAAACAUCUUUUAACUAUUAAUUAGCCGAUUAAAUAUUCCAAUAAUUACUAUGUGAUAUCUUCCGAAGAUAAUGCGCAAAAAAUGACGCAAUCAUAUUUACUUUUUUUUUGUUAUAUCAUAGCAAGGUGCUUUCAUUAUCUGUCCUCGCGUGUUUUGUGAAAACUUGAGUAUUUCGUCAUUGUAUCGUCUUAAUUUGGUUUUCGAAUAUUACAACUUGUAUUAUUGUAUCUUCAUGACUAUUUUUCAAAUCAUUUCAUUGUUUUAAAAAUAAAAGUCGUGAUGAU